RNAcentral lists this ribosomal RNA (244 nucleotides) under uncultured Staphylococcus sp. RNAcentral describes it as "partial 16S ribosomal RNA". It matches the Rfam family "Bacterial small subunit ribosomal RNA", at positions 96 to 334 of the family's 1533-position model. The record is from RNAcentral. Lineage: Bacteria; Bacillati; Bacillota; Bacilli; Caryophanales; Staphylococcaceae.
CGGCGGACGGGUGAGUAACACGUGGAUAACCUACCUAUAAGACUGGGAUAACUUCGGGAAACCGGAGCUAAUACCGGAUAAUAUAUUGAACCGCAUGGUUCAAUAGUGAAAGACGGUUUUGCUGUCACUUAUAGAUGGAUCCGCGCCGCAUUAGUUAGUUGGUAAGGUAACGGCUUACCAAGGCAACGAUGCGUAGCCGACCUGAGAGGGUGAUCGGCCACACUGGAACUGAGACACGGUCCAG